GGGGACCCGGGCGUGGCCAAGUCGCAGCUGCUGACCUACAUCGACCGCCUGGCGCCGCGCAGUGCGUGCCUUCCUCCUCACCAUCCUCCUCCUCCUCACCAUCCUCCUCCUCCUUGCCUUCCUCUUCCAUCAUCUUCCUCCUUUCCUUCUCCUCCUCCUCCUCCUCCUCACCAUCAUCAUCCUCCUUGCCUUCCUCCUCACCAUCCUCCUCCUCCUUGCCUUCCUCCUCCUUGCCUUCCUCCUCACCAUCCUCCUCCUCCUUGCCUUCCUCCUCCAUCAUCUUCCUCCUUUCCUUCUCCUCACCAUCAUCAUCCUCCUCACCAUCAUCAUCAUCCUCCUCACCAUCAUCAUCUUCCUCCUCACCAUCAUCUUCCUCCUUUCCUCCUCCUCCUCCUCCUCCUCCUCACCAUCCUCCUCCUCCUCCUCCAUCAUCUUCCUCCUUUCCUUCCUCCUCACCAUCCUCCUCCUCCUUGCCUUCCUCCUCCUCACCAUCAUCUUCCUCCUUGCCUUCCUCCUCCUCCUCCUCCUCCUCACCAUCCUCCUCCUCCUUGCCUUCCUCCUCCAUCAUCUUCCUCCUUGCCUUCCUCCUCACCAUCAUCAUCUUCCUCCUUGCCUUCCUCCUUCUCCUCCUCCAUCAUCUUUCUCCUCCUCCUCCUCCUCCUCCUCACCAUCAUCUUCCUCCUUUCCUCCUCAUCUCAAUCAUCUUCCUCCUUGCCUUCCUCCUCCUCCUCCUCCUCCUCCUCCAUCAUCUUCCUCCUCCUCCUCCAUCAUCUUCCUCCUUGCCUUCCUCCUCCUCCUCCUCCUCCUCACCAUCAUCUUCCUCCUUUCCUCCUCAUCUCCAUCAUCUUCCUCCUUUCCUUCUCCUCUUCCUCCUCCUCCUCCUCCUCACCAUCAUCUUCCUCCUUGCCUUCCUUCUCCUCCUCCUCCUCCUCCUCCUCACCAUCAUCUUCCUCCUUGCCUUCCUUCUCCUCCUCCUCCUCCUCCUCCUCACCAUCAUCUUCCUCCUUUCCUCCUCAUCUCCAUCAUCUUCCUCCUUUCCUUCUCCUCCUCCUCCUCCUCCUCCUCCUCUUCCUCCUCACCAUCAUCUUCCUCCUUGCCUUCCUCCUCCUCCUCCUCCUCCUCAUCUCCAUCAUCUUCCUCCUUCUCCUCAUCUUCAUCAUCAGCAUCAUCUUCUUCCACCUUUCCUUUUCUUCCUCUUUUCCUUUUCUUCCUCCUUUCCUUCUUCCUCCUCCUCUUCUUCAUCACCAUCAUCACCAUCAUCUUCCUCCUUUCCGUUCUCUUCCUCCUCCUUUUCCCAUUUUAUGCCAGUUUUAGGCCCAUUUUAUGUCCACUUUCCCCCUUUUCCCCCCAUUUUGUAUCUGUUUCCACAUUCUAUGCCCAUUUUUACUCAUUUUAUGCUCAUUUUUACCCAUUUUCCCCCAUCUUAUGCCCAUUUUUUGUACAUUUUCAUCCAUUUUCCCAUUUUUAUUCCCAUUUUCCCCAUUUCUCCCCAACCCCAGGCCAGUACACGACGGGGCGCGGCUCCUCGGGCGUGGGGCUGACGGGGCCGUGUCCAUUUUUAACCCAUUUUCACCCAUUUUUAACCCAUUUUACACCGUGUUUUUCCCAUUUUUUCCCA
Molecule: long non-coding RNA, 1618 nt
Filed under: Lonchura striata (white-rumped munia)
Lineage: Eukaryota; Metazoa; Chordata; Aves; Passeriformes; Estrildidae
Description: domestica (Bengalese finch) lncRNA (ENSLSDG00000001714.1)
Source: RNAcentral